GUGCUCGCCUCAGCAGCACUUAUACUAAAAUUGGAAUGAUACAGAGAUCAGCAUGGUCCCUGAGCAAGGAUGGCAUGCACCUUCUGAAGCGUUCCAUAUUUAA
This is a small nuclear RNA of Myotis lucifugus (little brown bat), 103 nucleotides long. NCBI's taxonomy places the organism in Eukaryota, Metazoa, Chordata, Mammalia, Chiroptera, Vespertilionidae. The record is from Ensembl.